AGUGAACGCUGGCGGUAGGCCUAACACAUGCAAGUCGAACGGCAGCACAGUAAGAGCUUGCUCUUACGGUUGGCGAGUGGCGGACGGGUGAGGAAUACAUCGGAAUCUACUUUUUCGUGGGGGAUAACGUAGGGAAACUUACGCUAAUACCGCAUACGACCUACGGGUGAAAUCAGGGGAGCUUCGGACCUUGCGCGAUUGAAUGAGCCGAUGUCGGAUUAGCUAGUUGGCGGGGUAAAGGCCCACCAAGGCGACGAUCCGUAGCUGGUCUGAGAGGAUGAUCAGCCACACUGGAACUGAGACACGGUCCAGACUCCUACGGGAGGCAGCAGUGGGGAAUAUUGGACAAUGGGCGAAAGCCUGAUCCAGCAAUACCGCGUGAGUGAAGAAGGCCUUCGGGUUGUAAAGCCCUUUUGUUGGGAAAGAAAAGCAGCAGGUUAAUACCCCGCUGUUCUGACGGUACCCAAAGAAUAAGCACCGGCUAACUUCGUG
RNAcentral lists this ribosomal RNA (492 nucleotides) under uncultured bacterium. RNAcentral describes it as "partial 16S ribosomal RNA". It matches the Rfam family "Bacterial small subunit ribosomal RNA", at positions 29 to 507 of the family's 1533-position model. The record is from RNAcentral.